CUGUAAUAUAGUUCUUCACUUGUGACUAUUUAAUUUUCAUGUUACACUUUUCAGGCAUUUCGAUCAUUAGUUUUCGGCAUAAGUCAAUGAGCAAAAGCACGUCUUAAAUCUUUGCAAUACAGGAAGGAUUCCCAAAUUAGAGAAUGUAUUUUAGUCAACACAGAAUUUACCUUACAAUGGAGUCAGAGAGAUAGUGACCGAAAAUGUUCCAUUGGCUCCAGUUGUCCCAACUCAUGAAAAAGUCCCAAAGAGAAGAGCUGUUAAGUCCAGGUCUCUACCAUCUUCACCAUCCCCACAUGGACAUGGGUCAAGGUUGCGUCCCCUACAUGAGGAGACAAGAGGAAUGUGUUGGGGUAAAGGAAUACGUAAGGUCCUGAUUCCAAGAAGUGAAAUUUGGUGCAGUGAGGAGGAAAAACAACGUGGAAAGAAGGAAACGCUGCGAUAGCCAUUCAAAACCCCACAAUCAGACCUUGUUUAUGUGAUAUGGACUCUGAGCUUUCUCUUAAAAAAUGCAUGCGAUUAAGAAAAUACUUUGAGAACCUAAUAACAGUUCCCUGAAACCUGAGAUCCACCUCUCAUCUUUCUAACUCUUGGGAAUGCAGCUAAUAAGAAUGUAUGUUUUUAAUACACUGAUUCUUAGCAACAAAGUAGUUCUUUAAUUAGUACAAAACUCGAAUAAUGCAUUGCCCAUUGUUGUGCAUGGCACAUAACAUUCGGUGACUUGUAUGGGCAUAUUCGUUUACAUAUGUCACUGCUGUACCUGUAAUUUAGUUUAAUGCCAAGUGUGUGUGUGUGUGGGUAUAUGUGUGUGCGUGCGUGUGUGCGUGUGUGUGUGUGUAAAGCUCUUCCCAACAGUCGUUUCAUGGGACUUCUCAGUAGUAACUAAAACAGUGUUCAUUUUAGGAAAUCACAAUCAAAGUGCCUUUUUUUUUGCAGGUGUCCAUAAUAUUCUUUACUCACACUAGGGCACUGAGUGACUCAUCA
Molecule: long non-coding RNA, 984 nt
Filed under: Macaca mulatta (Rhesus monkey)
Lineage: Eukaryota; Metazoa; Chordata; Mammalia; Primates; Cercopithecidae
Description: lncRNA (ENSMMUG00000065060.1)
Source: RNAcentral